Molecule: ribosomal RNA, 505 nt
Filed under: uncultured bacterium
Lineage: Bacteria
Description: partial 16S ribosomal RNA
Rfam family: Bacterial small subunit ribosomal RNA
Source: RNAcentral
GACGAACGCUGGCGGCGUGCCUAAUACAUGCAAGUAGAACGCACAGUUUAUACCGUAGCUUGCUACACCAUAAACUGUGAGUUGCGAACGGGUGAGUAACGCGUAGGUGACCUGCCUGGUAGCGGGGGAUAACUAUUGGAAACGAUAGCUAAUACCGCAUAAUAUUAAUUAUUGCAUGAUAAUUGAUUGAAAGAUGCAAUUGCAUCACUACCAGAUGGACCUGCGUUGUAUUAGCUAGUAGGUGAGGUAACGGCUCACCUAGGCGACGAUACAUAGCCGACCUGAGAGGGUGAUCGGCCACACUGGGACUGAGACACGGCCCAGACUCCUACGGGAGGCAGCAGUAGGGAAUCUUCGGCAAUGGACGAAAGUCUGACCGAGCAACGCCGCGUGAGUGAAGAAGGUUUUCGGAUCGUAAAGCUCUGUUGUAAGAGAAGAACGGGUGUGAGAGUGGAAAGUUCACACUGUGACGGUAUCUUACCAGAAAGGGACGGCUAACUACGUG